CUAAUACUCCCUCCGUCCGAAAAUAUUUGUCAUCAAAAAGGAUAAAAAGGGAUGUAUCUAGAACUAAAAUACAUCUUCUUUUAUUCAUUUUGAUGACAAGUAUUUCCGGACGGAGGGAGUAUAUU
Molecule: non-coding RNA, 125 nt
Organism: Triticum aestivum (bread wheat)
Lineage: Eukaryota; Viridiplantae; Streptophyta; Magnoliopsida; Poales; Poaceae
Source: Rfam